Molecule: long non-coding RNA, 1225 nt
Organism: Penaeus indicus
Lineage: Eukaryota; Metazoa; Arthropoda; Malacostraca; Decapoda; Penaeidae
Exons: 2
Source: RefSeq, a predicted model, not a curated record
GACCGGAUGAUACACUUCACACCUGCGUCCAAACAGCUGCCCUACUCCUUGGGCAGGACGCCCGGCCCUCUCUUUUCGCACAGGAACCGCCGCAUAAAAGGACAAGUGCGUAAGACGACAGGCAGGCCAAGAGUUCAGCUCCACCACCUCGUCUUCGACUCCGGGGACACGGGGGUCUCUUGCAGCGUCUUAUAUCUAUCUUCACCAAUAAACCAGCAAGCUAAGACCCGCUCAGGACCAUCUCUCUCUCGCUUACAAUAUAUAUAUAUAUAUAUAUAUAUAUAUAUAUAUAUAUAUAUAUAUAUAUAUAUAUAUAUAUAUAUAUAUAUAUAUAUAUAUAUAUAUAUAUAUAUAUAUAUAUAUAUAUAUAUAUAUAUAUAUAUAUAUAUGAAAGGGUAAGGAGUUAAAGAGAAAUGAUGUCAAACGGCAGUUGGGAAUCAUUAGCCUAUGUGAAGCAUAGCGACUGCUAGGAGUGAAUGAGUAAGUAUGCUAGUCGAAGUGUGAAUGAAGCCCCAUGAAGCAGUGACGCAUGUACUUAAGUACGUGUGCAUUCAAAUGAAAUAGAAAAAGAGAAAAAAGUAAAAGAAAUUUAGGAAUAGAAACUAAAUGGAAAUGUGACCAAACUAAUACAUGCAACUAUGUGAAGUAUAAAACAAAAGAAAAGGAAACAAAAUAGAUAAAACAACAUAUUAAAAUAAAAUAUUAUCGAAUGGCAAGGGGAAUCUCCCAGUGUGACAUCCAGAUCACACUCAGACAGCUGCCCAGACAAGACAGUCAACCGAGGGGGUAACAACCACUAGCGUAUUUUAAACAUCCUCGGAUUUCCGUUGUGGAGUGGAUAAGUGCUGUGUAGCACUUAUGUACGAAAAGCGCACUCGUAAGGCGUGAGGCGUAUGGCAGAAGGAGCGAGUCUACGAAGCCAUAGGUGUGAGAAGAGAUGCGCAAGGAGAUGGAGAAGAAAAGUAAGGAAAAGUGAGAACGCAGCUAUAAACACCCGUUACGUGAGAUGGAGAAAAAUGUUAACAUUACCAGCGAUUAUUAGUCACAAAAUGCACUGAGCAAGGCCCCCUAGCUCAGUGCAUUUUGUGACCAAUUAAAACGAUGGAUUUAUAUUGCAUGAAUUAUUUUGCUGCUUUAUAUUUUCUUCUAUUUUUCAUAUUUCAAUCUUUAUCAUUCAUUUUUUAUAUUUUGUGUGCACGAAUUUGAAUAAUAAUCUGGAUAGAAA